RNAcentral lists this long non-coding RNA (7693 nucleotides) under Zea mays. Its description in RNAcentral is "long non-coding RNA (ZMAY_LNC002912)". Lineage: Eukaryota; Viridiplantae; Streptophyta; Magnoliopsida; Poales; Poaceae. The record is from RNAcentral.
AGAUGGGCACGUCACCGGCGGAGCCAUGGCCACAUCACCUUGAAGCUUCUUCGGCCACUGCGAACUCGCCCUCUGUUCUCCUGGCCAUGGAAUUUGUGAUCGAUGACCUGUCCACCGUCGCGCGUGGGUGGUUCGCUGAACUCCAUAGGCGGGUCCAAACCCAACGCCGUCUCCAUCUGCGCCUCCCUCGCCAACGUGUUCGCCGACUUCGACCACUGGAUCCGCCCUCAAAAGGUGAGAGAUCCUCCUUCAUGUCCGCCAGGCUUCCCACGUCGUGUAGCACUCGUCGCGUUAGGAUUUAUGCAGAGAAGAGUGAUUGGGGGGUUGUCGGCGGGUGUACGGCGGCGCUUCGCCGCCGUCGGACUCGCCCAGCUCUGUAUGGAGGAUGGCGACGACCCUGGCAUCGUUGGAUUGAAAAAGGGUGGUCACGAUUAAAGUUAGUAGUAACCUGUUGGCCCCUCCGAUCCUAGCCGCCGAUCAAGCCGCCAACGACCAAGAUUAGACGGCCCUGUACCGUUUCAUCCGGGCGAUCUUGGGCCGUUGGAUCGAAAUCCAGUGACCCCGGGUGCGUACCGAUUCAUCAUUUAAUCUGGGCCGUCUAUUGUAAUCUGUGCGGCCGAGAUCCCACAAUACCCUUUCGGCUGCGUAAUAUUGCAAAAGAGUCCCUGAUUAGUUUAAAAAUAAACCCGCCAUCCUAUGCGGCUGUACACUGAGUCUUGAAAUAUUUGCGACGUAGUCCCUGUGUUUUCUGUAAAUGGUGCGCUCGGUCCAGAGAGCAGGAAAUCAAAGGAAUUCAUUUAGAAAAUACAUUUUUUUUGUGAGAAUAAUUAUAGAAACUUAAUUAAUUCCUAGAAAAUGCAUUUUAACUCCUUUUAAUCUAUCCCAGUCCCUAUAAUUUUGUAUUAAUAUUGUUUAAUACUUAGUGUCUCUGUUUUAACACGAAAAUGGUAUUAAAAUUUAUUUCUUAGCUAAUCUCGUAUCAAAUACAUAAAACCUUAGGAAAUUUGUAUCUCCUCCAUUUUAACUCCGAUUUGAUCCGUUCAAGUUCCGUUAGUCUCGUAGCAACGCGUAGAUUAUUAUUAUGCAGUUUCUCUUAUGUUUGAUGUAAUGUUAAUUUUGUCUAUACCGUAUCUGUUUGUAUUGCUACGACUAGCAGCGAGGUUUCGAGUCACCUGAAGAUCACCCUGGUAACUGGAAUCUCAAGUGCCAGGCAAGUUGUGCCCUUGAUCACUUACUUUUCCCAGCCAUGUUCUUAUUAAUUAUAAUGAUCUGCAUAGGUUAAUUUUGAUGGGACCUAAUAGGUUACCCUAGUUUUGGCUAUCUUUAUACCUUGUUUACCACUGAAAUAUUUUUGGGUAGUACCUGCUAUUGCUUUAUGUGGAUCUGGGUAUGAAGAUACUUUAUUCAUAAUUACUCUUUUAUUCUCUUUUAUUAUUACUGUUCAUGUUAAGAUCAUUAUGUUAAUGGGAACAUGGAGCGACCACCCGGGAAAACAGUGCUACCACAAGGGUUUAAUGGGACGCCCUUGGAUGAUUAACUAGGAAAGCUAGUGGAGGUCUUCCUUACCCGAAAGGGGCAAGGGCAGUAGGGGAGUGGUCAGUGUAGGGAGGUCCUUGGGUUGAUUUUGCUGCGAUGGCGGUCAGACAAGAACCCUGCACUGGAGCUUCCUAUAAACUGUAGCGGGAUUUCUGAAGCUAGUGGAACUUUGUAAAGGCCUCGUAGUGUUAUCCUGCCUCGCCUCCUCGGUAGAGGUGUAUGGGAUUGGCCAUCUCUUGGCAGAUGGGUAACAUGACUUGUGGGUAAAGAUGCGCAACCUCUGCAGAGUGUAAAACUGGUAUACUAGCCGUGCUCACGGUCAUGAGCGGCUCGGACCCUCACAUGAUUAAAUAUGGAACUUAAAUUUAAUUUGACAUUUGCAUCACAUUUGGGAUUAUUUUACUAUUACUGUUCUUUAUUAUUAUUAAGGUUUGGUAUUUACUUACACUUAGUAAUUGCUAAUAAAAUUUUGACCAACUUCUAAAAGCAAUGCUCAGCCUCAGCCUUUACUUCAUUGAUUAGCCUUACACUUCAUGAACUCCCACCUUUUGUGAGUUCAUGCCACAUUAUUCCCCACAACUUGUUGAGCGAUGAACGUAUGUGAGCUCACUCUUGCUGUCUCACACCCCCCCACAGGAGAAGAACAGGUGGUUCAGGAGGAGCCACAAGGCGAGGAGUAUGAUCUGAUCUAGGUGGUGUUUCUCAGUCGACAUUGGCGCCGACGAUCCUUAGUUCGUUUUAUAUUUACUCUUUUAUUUUGUAAUAAGACUUCCGCUAUGUAAUAAAUACUCUGAUGAUUGUGACAUUUAUCUCUAUACACUCUGUGAUUAUAUAUGUUGUCUUCUUUGGCGCAUGUAUGAGAUGCACCCGGCUUUGUCCUUUAAAACCGGGUGUUACAGAAGUGGUAUCAGAGGAAAUGUUGACUGUAGGACGAAACCUAGAUAGAAAUGGACAACCCUUACCUACUUAUCUUAUUCUGAUUCAUUCUACACUUACCUUACUCUGAUUCUUUCUACACUUACCUUGAUCCUGUCUCACCUUCUACUGUUCUACUCUGAUCAUUCUUACCUUUUCUAUUCUAAGACAAGAUGGAUUUCACACCUUGGAAUCCCUACCCCUAUGACAUUUUUAAGAGAUAGGAGACCUAAAAAAAUUUUAUUUUCUCUAUUAAAAAUGUUGGUUGAUUGUUCUGCUGAUCAAUGCCUGAUUUGCUUCUUUGAUUGAUUGAAGUAUUAUAUAUGGACAUCUUAGUAUGUGCCAGCAUAAGGUAAUAAAUUAGCUAUGGUAGGUAAAACAUUAAACUGCUUAGCUAAUAAAUCCCCCAAAGUAACAUGAUUGUAAUUACUCGCCUUGUCUACAAUUCUUCCUUUCUUACCCUAUAUUCCUAACCCAAAUGUGCUACCCCUAUACUGUUAGAAGAGAGCAGUAUAGAUUUGAUCCUUGGUAUGUCAUGGUUAAGAAAGGCAAAGCAGUAUAUACACUGUGCUAAGGGAACCGUAGAACUCACCAGUUCCAAAGAACAAAGAUUUGAAGUUGAGUUGGUCAUUGAUCUCUUACCUGAAACUGCUCCUAUUUCUAAACGGCUAUACAGAAUGUCCGUAGAAGAAUUAAAAGAACUUAAGAAGCAGUUAACUGAGUUACAGGAGGCGGGGUACAUUCGUCCGAGUUCCUCACCUUGGGGAGCACCGGUUCUGUUUGUACAGAAGAAGGAUGGAUCAAAAAAAAUGUGUGUGGAUUAUAGAUCUCUCAACGAUGUUACUGUGAAGAAUAAGUAUUCGUUGCCCCGUAUUGAGGAUUUAUUUGAUCAGAUGAGAGGUGCAAGGGUAUUCUCGAAGAUUGAUCUCCGAUCGGGUUAUUAUCAAAUGAAGAUUAGGCCAUCGGAUAUUCCCAAGACGGAUUCCUCGACCCGAUGUGGUUUAUAGGAGUUCACCGUUAUGUCAUUUGGAUUAACUAAUGCACCAGGCUAUUUUAUGGAUCUGAAGAAUAAGGUGUUUAUGGAGAAUUUGGACAGAUUCGUCGUGGUAUUCAUCGACGAUAUUAUUAUUUAUUCCAAGAGUGAUAGUGAUCAUGAGGAACAUCCGAGAUUGGUGCUACAAAAGCUACGAGAUAAUCAACUCUACACCGAGUAUAGCAAAUGCGAGUUUUGGAUCGGUGAGGUACCAUUCCUUACAUGUCAUUUCUAAUGGAGGAAUAUCAGUGGAUCCUGCUAAAGUCAAGGAGAUAGUGGCGUGGAGCAUACCCACUAUAGUUACUGAGGUCCGGAGUUUCUUGGGGCUUGCAGGCUAUUAUCGGAGAUUUAUUGAAGGGUUCUCUAAGAUUGCCAAGCCUAUGACCUCACUUUUGGAGAAAGGAAGAGAAUUCAAGUGGAAUGAGAAAUGCCAAGAUAGCUUUGAUCAAUUAAAGAAGAGGUUGAUGUCAUCACAAGUGUUGGUUAUGCCAGAUCUACAGAAGGGAUUUGACAUUUAAUGUGAUGCAUGUGGCCAAGGCUUGGAAUGUGUGCUCAUGCAAGAAGGACAUGUGAUUGCCUACGUGUCUCGUCGGUUGCGGAAACACGAGUUGAACUACCCCACUCAAGACUUAGAACUGGCAGUCAUUGUGCAUGCGCUUAAGAUUUGGAGACAUUAUAUUAUGGGAACCGAGUGUCAAGUAUACACGAAUCAUAAGAGUUUGAAGUAUAUAUUCACUCAAAAGGAUCUCAACCUUAGGCAACACCGUUGGUUGGAGCUUAUUAAGGAUUAUGAUUUGGAGAUUCACUAUCACCCGGGCAAGGCAAAUUUGGUUGGAGAUGCCUUGAGUCGAAAGGAGCAUGUUCAUUCGGCUGUUGUUGCCCAGCUACCCGAUGAGAUUGUUGAGGAUUUUAGGAGACUUAACCUGGGGAUAGUAACUGCUCACACUGAAGAAGUUAUAUUGAUGUGGAACCUACCUUGGAGCAAGAAAUCCACAGAAGGACAGAUUGAUGAUGCUAAGAUACAAGAGAUUAAGGAUUUGAUUACUGAAGGUCGAGGUCCGGAAUUCACGAAGGAUGAGCAAGGCACAAUAUGGUUCAAGGAUAGGAUAUGUGUGGCUGAUAUUGAAAGCCUUCGUGAGACUAUUUUAAAGGAGGCCCAUGACUUGGAUUAUUCUAUUCAUCCUGGUAGUACUAAGAUGUAUCAGGAUUUGAGGCAGAAGUACUGAUGGUAUGAAUUGGAGAGAUAUGUGGCUACACAUGUGGCUAUGUGCGAUGUGUCAAAGAGUUAAGGCUGAACACCAAAGGCCAGCUGGACUAUUGCAUCCACUGAAGAUACCCGAGUGGAAAUGGGAAGAGAUCGGUAUGGAUUUUAUUACUGGAUUGCCUCGCACACAGAAAGGAUAUGAUGCUAUAUGGGUGAUUGUGGAUAGAUUGACUAAAGUGGCUCACUUUAUUCCUGUCAAGACUACUUAUAAGGUAUCUCAAUCGGCAGAGUUAUAUAUCGCUCGGAUUGUGUCUCUACACGAUGUACCAAAGAAGAUCGUUUUGGAUAGAGGAUCACAAUUUACCUCAAGAUUUUGGAAAAGUUUUCAAGAGAAUGUGGAUACGAAGUUGAAUGUUAGUUCGGCCUACCUCAGACUGAAAGGACUAAUCAAGUAUUGGAAGACAUGUUGAGAGCUUGUGCUCUUCAGCAUGGUAGUAGUUGGGACAAGAGUCUACUUUAUGCUGAGUUCUCAUAUAAUAAUAGUUACCAGGCUAGUCUAAAAGAUGUCACUGUUCGAGACUCUGUAUGGCAAGAAAUGCAGGACUCCUCUAUUUUUGGACCAGACUAGAGGAAGACAAUUCUUUGGGCCUGAACCUAUUCAAGAGGCAGAAAAAAAAACCAAGUCCGUAUAAUUCGGGAGAACUUGAGGGUAGCUCAAACCAGGAAAGAGAGCUAUGCUGAUAAUAGAAGGAGACCAUUGGAAUUUGAGGAAGGUGAUCCUGUGUACCUCAAGGUGUCACCACUUCGUGGAAUGAGGAGAUUUAAAGUUAAGGGCAAAUUGUCCCCUCGCUAUAUUGGACCAUUCAGAGUUUUUAGGCAAGUUGGAGAGAUGGCCUAUCAACUCGAGCUACCUGAUAAUCUAUCUGAUGUGCAUAAUGUGUUCCAUGUGUCUCAACUUAAGAAGUGUCUUCGUGUCCCUGAGGAACAGUUACCAAUGGAAGAGCUCAGCGUUCAUGGUGAUUUGAUUUAUACGGAGUAUCAUGUCAAGAUUAUUGAUACUUUGACACGAGUUACAUGAAAUAAGGUGAUAAAGAUGUGCCAAGUGCAAUGGAGUCACCACGGGGAAGAUAAAGCUACGUGGGAGAGAGAAGAAGAGCUUCGCAUAGAUUUUCCCCAUCUUUUCCCUAGUCCUUCCUAAAUCUCGAGGACGAGAUUCUUUGUAAGGGGGGUAGGAUUUGUAAUAUCCACUUUUGUAAUCAGAGUAUAAAGAAAAUUAUAUUCCUGUAUACAUAUGUGUGUCAUCCAAGUUUAUCAUUUCAUGAGCACAUCACAUAUAACAAACAACUAAAUGACAAAAGGCACUUAAAUAAAAUAUACAUCAUGCUGGGAUUUAUUGUGUGUGUGCAUUUGGUGACAUAAAUAAAUCAACAUUCAAAUUGAGGAUUUAAUACCUACUUUGAAUAAAUAGAAUAGAAGGAGAGAAAUACUAUAAAAUACAAAAUAAAACUUAUAAAAAAAUCAUAUUGGCAAGUUCAAAUUUAAACCUAACCCAAGGAAAAAUUUUCCACAAAAAGAAUUUCUUUUAGAAUUAAAGUUUUUGAAUUUGGAAAGGAAUGAAAGAAUAACAAAUAAAAAAAAAGAAAGCAGUCUUCGGCCGAGUGGGCCUCUAUUCCAUGCUUUCGGCCCAUCUUCGGAUCCAGCUCACGUAGCCCAACUCCAUUUUGCCACCAAACAUCUCCACCGCGCGACCUGCUUCUCUUUUGGGCAUGCGGACCUCGCAACUCAGUCUCCUGGCGCGCGCAUAGUACCAUUACCAUUUCACUGACAGGUAGGCCCAUCUGCUCAGCUUCGUCAACAAACUCGCGGAGGAAGCGCGGUCUGGUGCGAUCUCGCCGGAAUCCGUUGACUGGCUUCGGACCGAGCUCGGCCCUUGGUGGUAUAAAAAAAAGAAGACGUUCUCGCCAGCCUAGCUCUAUCCUACACGCGCGCGCGCCGCAUCCAUUUCCCAUGCCGCUGACGAAUGGGUCUGCGCUGGCAGGCUUCGUCCCCAACUGAUUUUCGCCAUCCGCGCGCGGGUAUGGUCAAGAUCCGCUCGACCGGUCUUCUCCAUGCUCGCAUUGGGGUGAAGCUAAUCCCGCAUCCAUCGCGGGCUCAACUGGUCAGCGCAACAGAUGACGCCGAUCCCGCGCUGGCCGUCGUGGCUUCCGCUGCGGACCAACUACCUGAACCGCGUAUCGCUGCAGCGAAGUCCGCCCCAGCAACAGCUCUUCUUCUCAGCCGGAAGAUUAGGCCAGGUUGUUGGGUCGCCCGGCAAUCGCGCUAACCACAGCUACACCUCGUCGCAGCUUCAAAAGCGGACAGGCCCCUGGUUCUUCCCCAAGUCGCGCGCACCUAGCAUCCCUUGGCCACACCAAAUCCGACCCUGAGCCAAACCAGUAAAGUGCUGUGUGUUUGUCACGGACAGCAGUGAGAGAAAGCGAGGAGACAUGGACUGGGGGAAGCCGCCUCCGUCAUUCAUCGUCCACAAUGCCGAUGGGGCCUGGGGUCAAUUGCUUGCUGGUGAUGAUGCUUCGUCGGGGGACCGCACCGAUCCGCAGAUGGGGUAUCGCCGCGCUAUGCACUGGUAUUCUCCCUUCUUGUUCGUGCCCCACAUUUCGCCCUCGUUUGCCCUCGGUAAUGCUCGGAUCCGGCCCUUGAAGCUCAGAUGGGCACGUCACCGGCGGAGCCAUGGCCACAUCACCUUGAAGCUUCUUCGGCCACUGCGAACUCGCCCUCUGUUCUCCUGGCCAUGGAAUUUGUGAUCGAUGACCUGUCCACCGUCGCGCGUGGGUGGUUCGCUGAACUCCAUAGGCGGGUCCAAACCCAACGCCGUCUCCAUCUGCGCCUCCCUCGCCAACGUGUUCGCCGACUUCGACCACUGGAUCCGCCCUCAAAAGGUGAGAGAUCCUCCUUCAUGUCCGCCAGGCUUCCCACGUCGUGUAGCACUCGUCGCGUUAGGAUUUAUG